Bombina bombina (fire-bellied toad) is the source of this 147-nucleotide long non-coding RNA. RefSeq lists it as uncharacterized. The transcript is spliced from 3 exons. The record is from RefSeq and is a predicted model, not a curated record. NCBI's taxonomy places the organism in Eukaryota, Metazoa, Chordata, Amphibia, Anura, Bombinatoridae.
UCCUGACCCAGAGGCCAGUGCACCUCCAAUCGAUGACCUGGAAGAAAGUGGGACAGAAGCUGAACAAGAUAUGGAUGUUGGUGCUGGACCCUCAACCUCGGGGUUGUCACAGUCUGACGGACCAUCCACUUCUGGGCAUCACCCUGC